Molecule: ribosomal RNA, 214 nt
Filed under: uncultured bacterium
Lineage: Bacteria
Description: partial 16S ribosomal RNA
Rfam family: Bacterial small subunit ribosomal RNA
Source: RNAcentral
UGGGAACGUACCUUUUGGUUCGGAACAACCCAGGGAAACUUGGGCUAAUACCGGAUAAGCCCUUACGGGGAAAGAUUUAUCGCCAAAAGAUCGGCCCGCGUCUGAUUAGCUAGUUGGUGGUAAUGGCCCACCAAGGCUACGAUCAGUAGCUGGUCUGAGAGGAUGAUCAGCCACAUUGGGACUGAGACACGGCCCAAACUCCUACGGGAGGCAG